Molecule: unclassified non-coding RNA, 841 nt
Filed under: Hevea brasiliensis (rubber tree)
Lineage: Eukaryota; Viridiplantae; Streptophyta; Magnoliopsida; Malpighiales; Euphorbiaceae
Source: RNAcentral
GAUAAAAGCAUACACAUUGAAACUACUAAAAUAAAUAACCUUCAGAAUUAUUAAAUAAAACAAAGAACUACAGCAACAUAAAAAUGAAGAACAAAGGCUAUGCGAUUGAAAACAUUGAAUAAAACAUGGGUAAUGGGGCAUUUGAGUAAAUUUAAAGUUUUAGUAUGUGAUUAUUAAUUUCUUAACUUCGAAUAUAUUCCAACAAUGACUUUAAAAAUAAAUCUAAUACAUAUUUUGUCAUUUAUUUAUGAAAGUCAUUCCUUGCUAUUCUGUUAAUACUGCAUUUAGCCAUUAAUAGUGUUAAUGCAUUGCAUAUUUAUUUCUUGUUUUUUAAUGUUAAUUUAUUUCGUUUUAUGUACUUCAAAAAAAUAUUCAAGAUAACAUGAUCCUAUAUGAUUUGUUAUUAUAAACACUGCUAUUACAAUUGAUAUUGUUAUUUAAAACCCUAAUCAUACCAUAACGCCCUUACAUAGGCACCAAGACACAACAAAUUAGGGGGAAAAAAAUAUAUCCUACCAAAAUCUUGAUGAACACUAAAUAUUCAUUUAAAAAAAAAUGCAAGUAUAUAAAUAAUCCCAAGUAGUCAAAUUGUAUAUGCUGGAUUGGAUUUUCAUUUUCCUUCAUUGGUCUUACCUUAUAGUUGUUAGGUCUGCCCCUAUCGAGGCCAUAGGGGGUGCACCUAAGUCAGCCUAAGGCAAGACACUAUCCCACAGGCACACACUCUCUUGGGUGAAGCACCUAUGUAGCACGGACAUGGAAACACAGAAACGGACACGGGGAAAUGACAUUUUCAAAAAUAUAGGAAACAAAAACGUGGGGGAAACCCGUAAAUAUAAAAAAU